RNAcentral lists this small nuclear RNA (105 nucleotides) under Vulpes vulpes (red fox). The record is from RNAcentral. Lineage: Eukaryota; Metazoa; Chordata; Mammalia; Carnivora; Canidae.
GUACUUGCUUCAGCAGCACAUAUACUAAAAUCGGAACAAUGGAAGAAGAUUGGCAUGGCCCUUGCACAAUGAUGACACUCAAGUGUUUACACAUAAAAUAUUUUA